This 34-nucleotide ribosomal RNA is filed under the name Chromera velia. RNAcentral's name for it is "large subunit ribosomal RNA fragment rnl5". The record is from RNAcentral. Lineage: Eukaryota; Chromeraceae.
UAUAAUCCUGCAUGAAUAUUAUGAUAAAUCGAUA